UUCCAGACUCCUACGGGAGGCAGCAGUUAGGAAUAUUGGGCAAUGGAGGAAACUCUGACCCAGCAACGCCGCGUGAAGGAAGAAGGUUUUCGGAUUGUAAACUUCUGAUCUGUGGGACGAAGAAAGUGACGGUACCACAGGAGAAAGCCACGGCUAACUACGUGCCAGCAGCCGCGGUAAUACGUAGGUGGCGGGCGUUGUCCGGAAUAACUGGGCGUAAAGGGAGCGUAGGUGGUUGAUUAAGUUAAAUGUGAAAGCCCAGGGCUCAACUCUGGAACUGCAUUUAAUACUGGUCGGCUAGAGUACAGGAGGGGUAAACGGAAUUUCUAGUGUAGCGGUGAAAUGCGUAGAUAUUAGGAAGAACACCGGAGGCGAAGGCGGUUUACUGGACUGCAACUGACACUGAGGCUCGAAAGCGUGGGGAGCAAACAGGAUUAGAUACCCGAGUAC
Molecule: ribosomal RNA, 450 nt
Filed under: uncultured bacterium
Lineage: Bacteria
Description: bacterial SSU rRNA
Rfam family: Bacterial small subunit ribosomal RNA
Source: RNAcentral